Molecule: ribosomal RNA, 596 nt
Filed under: Listeria monocytogenes
Lineage: Bacteria; Bacillati; Bacillota; Bacilli; Caryophanales; Listeriaceae
Description: bacterial SSU rRNA
Rfam family: Bacterial small subunit ribosomal RNA
Source: RNAcentral
GUUUAAUUCGAAGCAACGCGAAGAACCUUACCAGGUCUUGACAUCCUUUGACCACUCUGGAGACAGAGCUUUCCCUUCGGGGACAAAGUGACAGGUGGUGCAUGGUUGUCGUCAGCUCGUGUCGUGAGAUGUUGGGUUAAGUCCCGCAACGAGCGCAACCCUUGAUUUUAGUUGCCAGCAUUUAGUUGGGCACUCUAAAGUGACUGCCGGUGCAAGCCGGAGGAAGGUGGGGAUGACGUCAAAUCAUCAUGCCCCUUAUGACCUGGGCUACACACGUGCUACAAUGGAUAGUACAAAGGGUCGCGAAGCCGCGAGGUGGAGCUAAUCCCAUAAAACUAUUCUCAGUUCGGAUUGUAGGCUGCAACUCGCCUACAUGAAGCCGGAAUCGCUAGUAAUCGUGGAUCAGCAUGCCACGGUGAAUACGUUCCCGGGCCUUGUACACACCGCCCGUCACACCACGAGAGUUUGUAACACCCGAAGUCGGUAGGGUAACCUUUAUGGAGCCAGCCGCCGAAGGUGGGACAGAUAAUUGGGGUGAAGUCGUAACAAGGUAGCCGUAUCGGAAGGUGCGGCUGGAUCACCUCCUUUCUAAGGAA